Long non-coding RNA from Magnolia sinica, 350 nucleotides. RefSeq lists it as uncharacterized. Lineage: Eukaryota; Viridiplantae; Streptophyta; Magnoliopsida; Magnoliales; Magnoliaceae. The transcript is spliced from 3 exons. The record is from RefSeq and is a predicted model, not a curated record.
UUUUCAAAAUCAGCUACCGCCUUUGUAAGAAAUGCUCACAGAUGAGAAGUAUAGAUUGAGCUGUUGAACCGUGCCAGGAAAUGUCAAUGAUGCAGCCCAAUUCAAAGUAAUGGAAGAAUCUCUGACGAAAUCUCUUUAUUCACAUCAAGAACACUAGAGACAUCACUGUCCGCAGUUACCUAAUCAUGACAAUAUAUGGGAGCUAGUGAAGAUCUCAACUUUUUGAUGGUUCAAUGGUAUUUUCUUAAUUUAUAUGAAUAAUGACUAAUUCAUACAUGAUUUGGAGUAAAAUAUUUAAUCCAAAGUUACUGUUAUGUUGCAGAGAUGUCACAUACUUGAAGUUUCAGAUA